GCGCCGGGCGGCGGACAGCCGAGGACGACGGGGCGGCGCCGUGUCCUCCGCCAUGACAGAUCAGACCUACUGUGACCGGCUGGUACAGGACACUCCUUUCCUGACGGGACAGGGUCGCCUGAGCGAGCAACAAGUGGACAGGAUCAUCCUCCAGCUGAACCGUUACUACCCACAGAUCCUUACCAACAAGGAGGCUGAAAAGUUCCGGAACCCCAAGGCAUCCCUGCGCGUACGGCUCUGUGACCUCCUGAGCCAUCUACAGCAGCGUGGGGAACGGCACUGUCAGGAAUUUUACCGAGCUCUGUACAUCCAUGCCCAGCCCCUGCACAGCCACCUGCCCAGCCGCUACUCUCCUCGGCUCUGUCUGUGUCCCAAGGGCUUUCUAUUAGGGGACAAGCCCCCUGUAGUGCUCACCCACUGGUCCAGGCCACUCAUACUCCUUUCUCCCCAGGACCCAUGAGCUUCCUGGCAGGCCUGGGCCUGGCAGCGGGCCUGGCCCUCCUCCUCUACUGCUGCCCUCCAGACCCCAAAGUGCUGCCCGGAACCCGGCGCGUCCUUGCCUUCUCACCUGUCAUCAUUGACCGGCAUGUCAGCCGCUACCUGCUGGCUUUCCUGGCAGAUGACCUCGGAGGACUCUGAUGAACCCAGAUCCCGGGCCUUACCUGCUGCUUAACCAAAGAGUCCCCUGGCUGCCCAUCGUGGGGCCUGUAUUUCUUUUUCUAAAUACUUAUUUUUCAUUAUUUAUAAUUUCUACGAGAACACAUCACCUUCACUCUGUAAGGUGCUUAAUAUUAAAUGUUCCAGCUGCA
RNA transcript from Mus musculus (house mouse), 809 nucleotides. It is a transcript of the gene named caspase recruitment domain family, member 19, with no coding region annotated. The transcript is spliced from 5 exons. The record is from RefSeq and is marked validated. Lineage: Eukaryota; Metazoa; Chordata; Mammalia; Rodentia; Muridae.